This 492-nucleotide ribosomal RNA is filed under the name uncultured bacterium. RNAcentral describes it as "partial 16S ribosomal RNA". It matches the Rfam family "Bacterial small subunit ribosomal RNA", at positions 29 to 507 of the family's 1533-position model. The record is from RNAcentral.
AGUGAACGCUGGCGGUAGGCCUAACACAUGCAAGUCGAACGGCAGCACAGUAAGAGCUUGCUCUUACGGGUGGCGAGUGGCGGACGGGUGAGGUAUACAUCGGAAUCUACUUUGUCGUGGGGGAUAACGUAGGGAAACUUACGCUAAUACCGCAUACGACCUACGGGCGAAAGCAGGGGAUCUUCGGACCUUGCGCGUUUGAAUGAGCCGAGGUCGGAUUAGCUAGUUGGAGGGGUAAAGGCCCACCAAGGCGACGAUCCGUAGCUGGUCUGAGAGGAUGAUCAGCCACACUGGAACUGAGACACGGUCCAGACUCCUACGGGAGGCAGCAGUGGGGAAUAUUGGACAAUGGGCGCAAGCCUGAUCCAGCCAUGCCGCGUGGGUGAAGAAGGCCUUCGGGUUGUAAAGCCCUUUUGUUGGGAAAGAAAAGCAGCGGGUUAAUACCCCGCUGUUCUGACGGUACCCAAAGAAUAAGCACCGGCUAACUUCGUG